Molecule: small RNA, 398 nt
Filed under: Histoplasma capsulatum var. duboisii H88
Lineage: Eukaryota; Fungi; Ascomycota; Eurotiomycetes; Onygenales; Ajellomycetaceae
Description: Histoplasma capsulatum H88 hypothetical RNA
Source: RNAcentral
GGCCAUAGUGUCGGAACUCCUCACUGUGUGGGUUGGGAAUUGAGGCCUCCAUCCCUGAAAGGAGAGGGUUGAAUAAAUAAAAAGACUAGACAUGUUGGAAAAAGUUGACGAAAUACCGUCACUACCGCGCUGCGGGUGGGCGCAGGAAGGCAGUAGGUUUCUUCUCUCUGUCAAUGUUGGAAGACGGAAAUUGAUAUGACGAUCAAAAAAAAAAGAAAGAAAGAAAGAAAAGAAAAGAAAUCAUGGAGGCGAAACCAUGUAUUUCGAUUAGGGCCAGUGAUGUAUGUGACCCUCUAACUUCUUCAAGAAAAGAUGUACUAGCUAUAUAAAAAAGGUAGGGAAAAGAAGGUCAACUCCCAUGAAUGAUUCCGUACACUAGCUAUAAACUCUCUUUUCAG